Long non-coding RNA from Cotesia glomerata, 418 nucleotides. RefSeq lists it as uncharacterized. The transcript has 2 exons. The record is from RefSeq and is a predicted model, not a curated record. Lineage: Eukaryota; Metazoa; Arthropoda; Insecta; Hymenoptera; Braconidae.
AAAAGUGAGAUGAUUUUUAAUAUAUCGGAUAAAAACAAGUUCAACCCGGUUAUUUUCCAUUGAAAAACACACAACUUCAUUACUCAGAGAUAGUAUAAAAAUACGGGGAAUCUAUGGAUUUUUUACAGUACUGUUUUUGUCUCAGAAUUUAAUAAGUUAAGAAGAUUAAUGGGAGCUACGGCUAUUUUUGUUCUUGUAUUGGCAAUUACCGCCCAAUCAGUAUAUUCUCAUGUAGGACUGUUUCGUGAAAGUAUAAAUUUUUAUGAAGAUAGCAAUCCCGACGCACCAUGUAGUGUUAGUUGUACUUGUGCCGCCGGUUGUAGUUGUAGUUGCAGCGGAAGCUGCUGUGGCAAUGGCGGCUGCUGUCACAGCUGCAGCUGCUGCUGCCAUGAUCAAUUUCACUGACAUUGCUGACGAA